AACGAACGCUGGCGGCAUGCCUAACACAUGCAAGUCGAACGAGACCUUCGGGUCUAGUGGCGCAAGGGUGCGUAACGCGCGGGAACCUGCACUUAGGUACGGAAUAACUCCCCGAAAGGGGUGCUAAUAACGGAUAAUGUCUUCGGACCAAAGAUUUAUCGCCUUUGGAUGGGCCCGCGUUGGAUUAGCUAGUUGGUAGUGUAAAAGCCUACCAAGGCGAGGAUCCAUAGCUGGUCGGAGAGGAUGAUCAGCAACACUGGGACUGAGACACGGCCCAGACUCGUACGGGAGGGAGCAGUAGGGAAUAUUGGACAAGGGGCGAAAGCCUGAUCCAGCAAUGCCGCGGGAGUGAUGAAGGCCUUAGGGUUGUAAAGCUCUUUUACCCGAGGUGAUAAUGACAGUACCGGGAGAAUAAGCACCGGCUAACUCCGUG
This 433-nucleotide ribosomal RNA is filed under the name uncultured bacterium. RNAcentral describes it as "partial 16S ribosomal RNA". It matches the Rfam family "Bacterial small subunit ribosomal RNA", at positions 29 to 507 of the family's 1533-position model. The record is from RNAcentral.